Molecule: ribosomal RNA, 1322 nt
Filed under: metagenome
Description: bacterial LSU rRNA
Rfam family: Bacterial large subunit ribosomal RNA
Source: RNAcentral
AGUGGAUGGGGAGCAACCUAGUUGUGCGUGUGUAAAGGUAGUGCCAAGAAAAGCGAUGAUCAUGUUGAAAAUCAAUUCCCGGUACCCGAAACCGACACAGGUGGGCAAGUAGAGAAUACUAAGGGGCGCGAGGUAACUCUCUCCAAGGAACUCGGCAAAAUGACCCCGUAACUUAGGGAGAAGGGGUGCCACCGAGAGGUGGUCGCAGUGAAGAGGCCCAGGCGACUGUUUAGCAAAAACAUAGGUCUCUGCAAACUCGAAAGAGGAGGUAUAGGGGCUGACGCCUGCCCAGUGCCGGAAGGUUAAAGAAGUUGGUCAGUCUUAGGAUGAAGCUAGCGACUGAAGCCCCGGUGAACGGCGGCCGUAACUAUAACGGUCCUAAGGUAGCGAAAUUCCUUGUCGGGUAAGUUCCGACCCGCACGAAAGGCGUAACGAUCUGGGCGCUGUCUCGGAGAGAGGCUCGGCGAAAUAGGAUUGUCUGUGAAGAUACGGACUACCUGCAUUUGGACAGAAAGACCCUAUGAAGCUUUACUAUAGCUUGGAAUUGUGUUCGGGCUUCCUGUGCGCAGGAUAGGUGGGAGGCGUAGAAGGUAUUCUUGUGGGGAUACUGGAGCCAACGGUGAGAUACCACUCUCAGGAGGCUAGAAUUCUAACUUAAUUAAGGACAGUUUCAGGUGGGUAGUUUGACUGGGGCGGUCGCCUCCAAAAAGGUAACGGAGGCGUACAAAGGUUCCCUCAGACUGGUUGGAAAUCAGUCGAAGAGUGCAAAGGCAGAAGGGAGCUUGACUGCGAGAAGUACAGUUCGAGCAGGGUGGAAACACGGUCUUAGUGAUCCGACGGUGCUGUGUGGAAGGGCCGUCGCUCAACGGAUAAAAGUUACUCUAGGAUAACAGGCUGAUCUCCCCCAAGAGUUCACAUCGACGGGGAGGUUUGGCACCUCGAUGUCGGCUCAUCGCAACCUGGGGCGGAAGUACGUCCCAAGGGUUGGGCUGUUCGCCCAUUAAAGCGGUACGUGAGCUGGGUUCAGAACGUCGUGAGACAGUUCGGUCCAUAUCCGAUGUAGGCGUGAGAAUAUUGAGAGGAGCCUUCCUUAGUACGAGAGGACCGGGAAGGACGCACCGCUGGUGUACCUGUUAUGAUGCCAAUUGUAAACGCAGGGUAGCCAAGUGCGGAGAGGAUAACCGCUGAAAGCAUCUAAGUGGGAAGCCCACCUCAAGAUGAGUAUUCUGGUGUAAGGUCACGGGAAGACGACCCGUAAAUAGGCACGAGGUGGAAGUGCAGAGAUGUAUGAAGCCGAAGUGUACUAAUAGACCGUCGGCUUG